UACGGGGGGUGCGAGCGUUGUCCGGAUUCACUGGGCGUAAAGGGCGCGUAGGCGGAUCGGUAAGUCUACUCUGAAAGCUCCUGGCUAAACUGGGAGAGGCGAGUGGAGACUGUCGGUCUAGAGUGAGGAAGAGGAAAGUGGAAUUCCGCGUGUAGUGGUGAAAUGCGUAGAGAUGCGGAGGAACACCAGUGGCGAAAGCGGCUUUCUGGUCCUUAACUGACGCUGAGGCGCGAAAGCAUGGGGAGCGAACGGG
Molecule: ribosomal RNA, 253 nt
Filed under: uncultured bacterium
Lineage: Bacteria
Description: partial 16S ribosomal RNA
Rfam family: Bacterial small subunit ribosomal RNA
Source: RNAcentral